CAGCUAGGAUGAUUACCCCAUUUGUCUUGACUUUUCCUGGAAGUUAACAAAGACCUUUUUAACCCUGAGCUGA
Molecule: small nucleolar RNA, 73 nt
Filed under: Oikopleura dioica
Lineage: Eukaryota; Metazoa; Chordata; Appendicularia; Copelata; Oikopleuridae
Source: RNAcentral